GUAAGUAAUUAUAAGAGUAAUGCUCACCAUUGAUUCUCUCUCAUGUUCCUGUUUGGUGAUUUGGUCUUUCCAUCAAUUGUGGCACCAUCUACCAUCAGGUUGUCAUCAGAGAAGAGCUGAUGCUGGCAACAUGCCAUGGAAUCUGCUGAAUUCCAGGAGGCCCUGACCUUACCACCACGAGCAUGUGUGAAUUCCCACACCACAAAGAUUUUGUUCUUCCGUUGGUCACCAUCUCUAAUCUGUAGUUUCCUCCAAUUCCCAACUGGACAGUUUGAACUGUAUUGUUGGUCUUUGAGACUGUUUGCACAGAAUAAUGUGAAGAGUUUAAGAAAACACAUGACACUGGAUUGGGUCCAGUAGCAGCAAGUAUGAGACUCUGGGCACAGACAAUUUUGUCUUCUGGAAGCACCUCAAUGGCUAGGAAUGGAGGCCAGUGACUCUUAGCAAGUGCCUUGAGUUUUCACAUCUGGGCUGAACGCAACAUCUGGAAAGGGGAACGUUCUCAAUAACGGGAAAGGAGACAAUGACGGAAAUGGAGGCUUGGGAAGAGGGAGAAGUACCUGAGAUGAAGAAGAAGAGCUCAGGAAGCGUCUACCAGACAGGUGUGAAAUCCCAAGG
Molecule: long non-coding RNA, 618 nt
Filed under: Cricetulus griseus (Chinese hamster)
Lineage: Eukaryota; Metazoa; Chordata; Mammalia; Rodentia; Cricetidae
Description: lncRNA (ENSCGRG00015033729.1)
Source: RNAcentral